GCUCAGAUUGAACGCUGGCGGCAGGCCUAACACAUGCAAGUCGAACGGUAACAGGAAGCAGCUUGCUGCUUCGCUGACGAGUGGCGGACGGGUGAGUAAUGUCUGGGAAACUGCCUGAUGGAGGGGGAUAACUACUGGAAACGGUGGCUAAUACCGCAUAACGUCGCAAGACCAAAGAGGGGGACCUUCGGGCCUCUUGCCAUCAGAUGUGCCCAGAUGGGAUUAGCUWGUUGGUGAGGUAACGGCUCACCAAGGCGACGAUCCCUAGCUGGUCUGAGAGGAUGACCAGCCACACUGGAACUGAGACACGGUCCAGACUCCUACGGGAGGCAGCAGUGGGGAAUAUUGCACAAUGGGCGCAAGCCUGAUGCAGCCAUGCCGCGUGUAUGAAGAAGGCCUUCGGGUUGUAAAGUACUUUCAGCGGGGAGGAAGGUGUUGUGGUUAAUAACC
This 450-nucleotide ribosomal RNA is filed under the name Salmonella enterica subsp. enterica serovar Muenchen. RNAcentral's name for it is "bacterial SSU rRNA". It matches the Rfam family "Bacterial small subunit ribosomal RNA", at positions 22 to 468 of the family's 1533-position model. The record is from RNAcentral. Lineage: Bacteria; Pseudomonadati; Pseudomonadota; Gammaproteobacteria; Enterobacterales; Enterobacteriaceae.